UACGAAGGGGGCUAGCGUUGCUCGGAAUUACUGGGCGUAAAGCGCACGUAGGCGGCUUCUUAAGUCGGUGGUGAAAUCCUGGAGCUCAACCCCAGAACUGCCUUCGAUACUGGGAAGCUCGAGUCCGGGAGAGGUGAGUGGAACUGCGAGUGUAGAGGUGAAAUUCGUAGAUAUUCGCAAGAACACCAGUGGCGAAGGCGGCUCACUGGCCCGGUACUGACGCUGAGGUGCGAAAGCGUGGGGAGCAAACAGG
This 253-nucleotide ribosomal RNA is filed under the name uncultured bacterium. RNAcentral's name for it is "partial 16S ribosomal RNA". It matches the Rfam family "Bacterial small subunit ribosomal RNA", at positions 524 to 776 of the family's 1533-position model. The record is from RNAcentral.